AGUGAACGCUGGCGGUAGGCCUAACACAUGCAAGUCGAACGGCAGCACAGUAAGAGCUUGCUCUUACGGGUGGCGAGUGGCGGACGGGUGAGGAAUACAUCGGAAUCUACUUUUUCGUGGGGGAUAACGUAGGGAAACUUACGCUAAUACCGCAUACGACCUACGGGUGAAAGCAGGGGAUCUUCGGACCUUGCGCGAUUGAAUGAGCCGAUGUCGGAUUAGCUAGUUGGCGGGGUAAAGGCCCACCAAGGCGACGAUCCGUAGCUGGUCUGAGAGGAUGAUCAGCCACACUGGAACUGGGACACGGUCCAGACUCCUACGGGAGGCAGAAGUGGGGAAUAUUGGACAAUGGGCGCAAGCCUGAUCCAGCCAUACCGCGUGGGUGAAGAAGGCCUUCGGGUUGUAAAGCCCUUUUGUUGGGAAAGAAAAGCAGCAGGUUAAUACCCCGCUGUUCUGACGGUACCCAAAGAAUAAGCACCGGCUAACUUCGUG
This 492-nucleotide ribosomal RNA is filed under the name uncultured bacterium. RNAcentral's name for it is "partial 16S ribosomal RNA". It matches the Rfam family "Bacterial small subunit ribosomal RNA", at positions 29 to 507 of the family's 1533-position model. The record is from RNAcentral.